Molecule: ribosomal RNA, 254 nt
Filed under: uncultured bacterium
Lineage: Bacteria
Description: partial 16S ribosomal RNA
Rfam family: Bacterial small subunit ribosomal RNA
Source: RNAcentral
UACGUAGGGGGCAAGCGUUGUUCGGAAUGACUGGGCGUAAAGGGUGCGUAGGCGGUGUAGCAAGUUAGAAGUGAAAUACCUAGAGCUUGACUCAGGUGCUGCUUCUAAAACUGCUAUACUUGAGUGCAGUAGAGGAAAGUGGAAUUCCUAGUGUAGCGGUGGAAUGCGUAGAUAUUAGGAGGAACAUCAGUGGCGAAGGCGACUUUCUGGACUGUAACUGACGCUGAGGCACGAAAGUGUGGGGAGCAAACAGG